CUCGUAGGUGGCCAACUAAGUCAGACGUGAAAUCCCUCGGCUUAACCGGGGAACUGCGUCUGAUACUGGAUGGCUUGAGUUUGGGAGAGGGACGCGGAAUUCCAGGUGUAGCGGUGAAAUGCGUAGAUAUCGUAAGGAAGACCAGUGGCGAAGGCGGGUCUCUGGACAGUUCCUGACGCUGAGGCACGAAGGCCAGGGGAGCAAACG
This 207-nucleotide ribosomal RNA is filed under the name uncultured bacterium. RNAcentral describes it as "partial 16S ribosomal RNA". It matches the Rfam family "Bacterial small subunit ribosomal RNA", at positions 568 to 774 of the family's 1533-position model. The record is from RNAcentral.